GCAUUCGUGCCCGAGUGGUCUAAGGGGGCCGUCUCAAGAACGGCUAUCGCAAGAUGCGUGGGUUCGAACCCCACCGGAUGCA
Molecule: transfer RNA, 82 nt
Organism: Entamoeba invadens IP1
Lineage: Eukaryota; Evosea; Mastigamoebida; Endamoebidae
Rfam family: tRNA
About the family: Transfer RNA (tRNA) molecules are approximately 80 nucleotides in length. Their secondary structure includes four short double-helical elements and three loops (D, anti-codon, and T loops). Further hydrogen bonds mediate the characteristic L-shaped molecular structure. tRNAs have two regions of fundamental functional importance: the anti-codon, which is responsible for specific mRNA codon recognition, and the 3' end, to which the tRNAs corresponding amino acid is attached (by aminoacyl-tRNA synthetases). tRNAs cope with the degeneracy of the genetic code in two manners: having more than one tRNA (with a specific anti-codon) for a particular amino acid; and 'wobble' base-pairing, i.e. permitting non-standard base-pairing at the 3rd anti-codon position.
Source: Rfam